UAAUAAUUAACUUGUACCGAAGACAGUAGGUGGCAUUCGCCUUAAUUUCCUACCGAGGACGUUUAUUGAAUACUUUCAAUAGUCCCUCUAUGUCUGCGGUGGCAUAGAGUUUUUUAUU
Molecule: small RNA, 118 nt
Filed under: Enterococcus durans
Lineage: Bacteria; Bacillati; Bacillota; Bacilli; Lactobacillales; Enterococcaceae
Description: Ribosomal protein L10 leader
Rfam family: Ribosomal protein L10 leader
About the family: This family is a putative r-protein leader autoregulatory structure found in B. subtilis and other low-GC Gram-positive bacteria. It is located in the 5' untranslated regions of mRNAs encoding ribosomal proteins L10 and L12 (rplJ-rplL).
Source: RNAcentral